Molecule: ribosomal RNA, 253 nt
Filed under: uncultured bacterium
Lineage: Bacteria
Description: partial 16S ribosomal RNA
Rfam family: Bacterial small subunit ribosomal RNA
Source: RNAcentral
UACAGAGGUCUCAAGCGUUGUUCGGAUUCAUUGGGCGUAAAGGGUGCGUAGGCGGCGCGGUAAGUCGGGUGUGAAAUUUCGGAGCUUAACUCCGAAACUGCAUUCGAUACUGGCGUGCUUGAGGACUGGAGAGGAGACUGGAAUUCAUGGUGUAGCAGUGAAAUGCGUAGAUAUCGUAAGGAAGACCAGUGGCGAAGGCGGGUCUCUGGACAGUUCCUGACGCUGAGGCACGAAGGCCAGGGGAGCAAACGGG